This 1343-nucleotide ribosomal RNA is filed under the name uncultured bacterium. RNAcentral's name for it is "16S ribosomal RNA". It matches the Rfam family "Bacterial small subunit ribosomal RNA", at positions 28 to 1378 of the family's 1533-position model. The record is from RNAcentral.
GACGAACGCUGGCGGCGUGCUUAACACAUGCAAGUCGAACGGAAAGGCCCUGCUUUUGUGGGGUGCUCGAGUGGCGAACGGGUGAGUAACACGUGAGUAACCUGCCCUUGACUUUGGGAUAACUUCAGGAAACUGGGGCUAAUACCGGAUAGGAGCUCCUGCUGCAUGGUGGGGGUUGGAAAGUUUCGGCGGUUGGGGAUGGACUCGCGGCUUAUCAGCUUGUUGGUGGGGUAGUGGCUUACCAAGGCUUUGACGGGUAGCCGGCCUGAGAGGGUGACCGGCCACAUUGGGACUGAGAUACGGCCCAGACUCCUACGGGAGGCAGCAGCGGGGAAUAUUGCACAAUGGGCGGAAGCCUGAUGCAGCAACGCCGCGUGCGGGAUGACGGCCUUCGGGUUGUAAACCGCUUUCGCCUGUGACGAAGCGUGAGUGACGGUAAUGGGUAAAGAAGCACCGGCUAACUACGUGCCAGCAGCCGCGGUGAUACGUAGGGUGCGAGCGUUGUCCGGAUUUAUUGGGCGUAAAGGGCUCGUAGGUGGUUGAUCGCGUCGGAAGUGUAAUCUUGGGGCUUAACCCUGAGCGUGCUUUCGAUACGGGUUGACUUGAGGAAGGUAGGGGAGAAUGGAAUUCCUGGUGGAGCGGUGGAAUGCGCAGAUAUCAGGAGGAACACCAGUGGCGAAGGCGGUUCUCUGGGCCUUUCCUGACGCUGAGGAGCGAAAGCGUGGGGAGCGAACAGGCUUAGAUACCCUGGUAGUCCACGCUGUAAACGGUGGGUACUAGGUGUGGGGUCCAUUCCACGGGUUCCGUGCCGUAGCUAACGCUUUAAGUACCCCGCCUGGGGAGUACGGCCGCAAGGCUAAAACUCAAAGGAAUUGACGGGGCCCCGCACAAGCGGCGGAGCAUGCGGAUUAAUUCGAUGCAACGCGUAGAACCUUACCUGGGUUUGACAUGGAUCGGGAGUGCUCAGAGAUGGGUGUGCCUCUUUUGGGGUCGGUUCACAGGUGGUGCAUGCCUGUCGUCAGCUCGUGUCGUGAGAUGUUGGGUUAAGUCCCGCAACGAGCGCAACCCUUGUUCACUGUUGCCAGCACGUUAUGGUGGGGACUCAGUGGAGACCGCCGGGGUCAACUCGGAGGAAGGUGGGGAUGACGUCAAGUCAUCAUGCCCCUUAUGUCCAGGGCUUCACGCAUGCUACAAUGGCUGGUACAGAGAGUGGCGAGCCUGUGAGGGUGAGCGAAUCUCGGAAAGCCGGUCUCAGUUCGGAUUGGGGUCUGCAACUCGACCUCAUGAAGUCGGAGUCGCUAGUAAUCGCAGAUCAGCAACGCUGCGGUGAAUACGUUCCCGGG